RNAcentral lists this ribosomal RNA (279 nucleotides) under uncultured bacterium. RNAcentral's name for it is "partial 16S ribosomal RNA". It matches the Rfam family "Bacterial small subunit ribosomal RNA", at positions 506 to 784 of the family's 1533-position model. The record is from RNAcentral.
UGCCAGCCGCCGCGGUAACACGUAGGAGGCAAGCGUUAUCCGGAUUUACUGGGCGUAAAGCGCGUGUAGGCGGCUCGGAUAGUUGGAUGUGAAAGCUCCUGGCUUAACUGGGAGAGGUCGUUCAAUACUUCCGGGCUUGAGAGUGGUAGAGGGAGGUGGAAUUCCGAGUGUAGUGGUGAAAUGCGUAGAUAUUCGGAGGAACACCAGUGGCGAAAGCGGCCUCCUGGACCAUAACUGACGCUCAGACGCGAAAGCUAGGGGAGCGAACGGGAUUAGAUA